RNAcentral lists this transfer RNA (69 nucleotides) under Anaerolineales bacterium. Its description in RNAcentral is "tRNA-Met". It matches the Rfam family "tRNA". From Rfam's summary of the family: Transfer RNA (tRNA) molecules are approximately 80 nucleotides in length. Their secondary structure includes four short double-helical elements and three loops (D, anti-codon, and T loops). The record is from RNAcentral. Lineage: Bacteria; Bacillati; Chloroflexota; Anaerolineae; Anaerolineales.
GGGGUGGAGCAGUGGCAGCUCGUCGGGCUCAUAACCCGGAGGUCGCAGGUUCGAGUCCUGUCCUGCCCA